Long non-coding RNA from Ornithodoros turicata, 429 nucleotides. RefSeq lists it as uncharacterized. The record is from RefSeq and is a predicted model, not a curated record. The transcript is spliced from 3 exons. NCBI's taxonomy places the organism in Eukaryota, Metazoa, Arthropoda, Arachnida, Ixodida, Argasidae.
GUACUGACGGACGCGCAGCCGGAACGGGAGACGUCCAGCAACCGGGUGGUCAACUGCAGCUGGAACAGGACACACGCGUAGAAGAAGACGCAGGGUAAGUAAUAUAAGCCACAAUAUCAAUGCUGCCCCAGUAUAUGGUUUAAGCACUGCGAAGCUGACAUAUAUGAACUAAACAACAAGCCAAGAGCACAGAAUAAACGUCUGGCUUCAGGCGUGUGGUGUAAGAAACGAGGUGGGACAAGGCCCCUUGAAGGCAUUAUUGAUUACGACAUAAUCAGGGUGCUUUUUACCGACUUGGAAUUACAACUGUGUGGAUGAUGGGUUUUCCAUCUGGGUUUUCGCGAGAGAGCGAGAAAUUUCUGCAGCACGAACCGAAAGCUGGACUUCAGGAGUUCUAGGAGUGCGCCUGUCAUUGGUGGAGGACGACGG